UCCGGUUUGUCACCGGCAGUCCCACUAGAGUGCCCAACCGAAUGUAGCAACUAGUGGCAAGGGUUGCGCUCGUUGCGGGACUUAACCCAACAUCUCACGACACGAGCUGACGGCAGCCAUGCACCACCUGUGCACGAGCCCCGAAGGGCUGCCGUGUUUCCACGACAUUCCCGUGCAUGUCAAGCCUUGGUAAGGUUCUUCGCGUUGCGUCGAAUUAAACCACAUGCUCCGCUGCUUGUGCGGGCCCCCGUCAAUUCCUUUGAGUUUUAGCCUUGCGGCCGUACUCCCCAGGCGGGGCACUUAAUGCGUUAGCUACGGCACCGCAGGGGUCGAUACCCGCGACACCUAGUGCCCAUCGUUUACGGCGUGGACUAC
Molecule: unclassified non-coding RNA, 375 nt
Filed under: uncultured bacterium
Lineage: Bacteria
Description: contains 16S-23S intergenic spacer region
Source: RNAcentral